GUUUUUUUGAGAAUAAUUUAAAGUCAAAUUUGCCCCCUGAUUAAUUUAAAGGGCUGCAGUAAAUUGACUGUACAAAGGUAGCAUAAUCAUUAGUCUUUUAAUUGGAGACUUGUAUGAAAGAUUUGAUGAAAUAUAGACUGUCUUUUUUUUAUAGUUAGAAUUUAAUUUUUUAGUAAAAAAGCUAAAAUUUAUUUAAAAGACGAGAAGACCCUAUAGAGUUUUAUAAUUAAUUUAAUUAUAUUUUUUUGUUAAAUUAAAAAAAAAAAUUAUUUUGAAUAUUUUGUUGGGGUGAUAAAAAAAUUAGAUAAACUUUUUUUACAUAAAAACAUUAAUUAAUGAUUAAUUGAUCCAUAAAUUUAUGAUUACAAGAAAAAAUUACCUUAGGGAUAACAGCGUAAUUUUUUUUUUUAGUUCUUAUAAAAAAAAAAGUUUGCGACCUCGAUGUUGGAUUAAGAUAAAAUUUAAAUGUAGAAGUUUAAAAUUUUUGAUCUGUUCAAUCAUUAAAAUCUUACA
This 513-nucleotide ribosomal RNA is filed under the name Ampittia trimacula. RNAcentral describes it as "partial 16S ribosomal RNA". The stretch from base 386 to 513 matches the Rfam family "Bacterial large subunit ribosomal RNA", at positions 2473 to 2600 of the family's 2925-position model. The record is from RNAcentral. Lineage: Eukaryota; Metazoa; Arthropoda; Insecta; Lepidoptera; Hesperiidae.